AAUUCUUAUGUCCAACAGCUAGACCAUCCAGAUUUGUUGAAAACUCGCAGCUCCUUGUUCCCACUUUCUUUUGACUCUGAUGACGAUGUUAGCCCACGUGUGCAGAACGGAGAUGUCAAGCCGCUAAUUGUAAGAGAGCCACGUGGCGCUUUUUUUGUUUCUUAAGUCAACUGGAAACCAAAUUAUACUUUUUUAAUAUUUUAUUGUAAUUGGUUUAUUUUUUCUUUAUAAAAGUAUUGUAAAUCAGAAAGAGCAAAUAAAAUAAAAACAAUAAGCAUAAAA
Molecule: long non-coding RNA, 282 nt
Organism: Bactrocera neohumeralis
Lineage: Eukaryota; Metazoa; Arthropoda; Insecta; Diptera; Tephritidae
Exons: 2
Source: RefSeq, a predicted model, not a curated record